This 308-nucleotide ribosomal RNA is filed under the name uncultured bacterium. Its description in RNAcentral is "partial 16S ribosomal RNA". It matches the Rfam family "Bacterial small subunit ribosomal RNA", at positions 505 to 808 of the family's 1533-position model. The record is from RNAcentral.
GAGACAGCAGCCGCCGCGGGAAUACGUAGGUGGCAAGCGUUGUCCGGAAUUAUUGGGCGUAAAGGGUACGUAGGUGGCCUUUUAAGCGUAGGGUAUAAGGCAAUGGCUCAACCAUUGUUCGCCCUAUGAACUGGAAGGCUUGAGUGCAGGAGAGGAAAGCGGAAUUCCUAGUGUAGCGGUGGAAUGCAUAGAUAUUAGGAGGAACAUCAGCGGCGAAGGCGGCUUUCUGGACUGCAACUGACACUGAGGUACGAAAGCGUGGGGAGCAAACAGGAUUAGAUACCCCGGUAGUCCCUGUCUCUUAUACA